Molecule: ribosomal RNA, 460 nt
Filed under: uncultured bacterium
Lineage: Bacteria
Description: partial 16S ribosomal RNA
Rfam family: Bacterial small subunit ribosomal RNA
Source: RNAcentral
CCUACGGGCGGCAGCAGUGAGGAAUAUUGGUCAAUGGGCGGAAGCCUGAACCAGCCAAGUCGCGUGAGGGAUUAAGGCCCUGCGGGUCGUAAACCUCUUUUGCCGGGGAGUAGAGGUCCGGACGUGUCCGGGCCGGGAGAGUACCCGGAGAAAAAGCAUCGUCUAACUCCGUGCCAGCAGCAGCGGUAAUACGGAGGAUGCGAGCGUUAUCCGGAUUUAUUGGGUUUAAAGGGUGCGUAGCGGGGCAUUAAAGCCGGCGGGCAAAUGCCGGGGCUCAACCCCGGCCUGACGUUGGAACUGGGUGCCUUGAGUGGGCGAGAGGUAGGCGGAAUGCGUGGUGUAGCGGUGAAAUGCAUAGAUAUCACGCAGAACCCCGAUUGCGAAGGCAGCAUACCGGGGCCCUACUGACGCUGAGGCACGAAAGUGCGGGUAUCGAACAGGAUUAGAUACCCUGGUAGUC